RNAcentral lists this ribosomal RNA (492 nucleotides) under uncultured bacterium. RNAcentral's name for it is "bacterial SSU rRNA". It matches the Rfam family "Bacterial small subunit ribosomal RNA", at positions 903 to 1397 of the family's 1533-position model. The record is from RNAcentral.
AAAUGAAUUGACGGGGGCCCGCACAAGCGGAGGAACAUGUGGUUUAAUUCGAUGAUACGCGAGGAACCUUACCUGGAUUUAAAUGUGCUUGACCGCCUCAGAAAAGGGGUUUUCCGCAAGGACAAGUACAAGGUGCUGCAUGGUUGUCGUCAGCUCGUGCCGUGAGGUGUCGGGUUAAGUCCCAUAACGAGCGCAACCCACGUUGUUAGUUACCAGCAUGUAAUGAUGGGGACUCUAACAAGACUGCCGGUGUAAACCGUGAGGAAGGUGUGGAUGACGUCAAAUCAGCACGGCCCUUACAUCCAGGGCUACACACGUGUUACAAUGGCCGGUACAGAGGGCAGCUACCUAGCGAUAGGAUGCCAAUCUUCAAAACCGGUCUCAGUUCGGAUCGAAGUCUGCAACCCGACUUCGUGAAGCUGGAUUCGCUAGUAAUCGCAUAUCAGCCAUGAUGCGGUGAAUACGUUCCCGGGCCUUGUACACACCGCCCGU